UACGGAGGAUCCGAGCGUUAUCCGGAUUUAUUGGGUUUAAAGGGUGCGUAGGCGGAAGAAUAAGUCAGUGGUGAAAGUUUGCAGCUCAACUGUAAAAUUGCCGUUGAAACUGUUUUUCUUGAGUGUAAAUGAGGUAGGCGGAAUGUGUUGUGUAGCGGUGAAAUGCUUAGAUAUGACACAGAAUACCGAUUGCGAAGGCAGCUUACUAAGAUACAACUGACGCUGAGGCACGAAAGCGUGGGGAUCGAACAGGAUUAGAUACCCUGGUAGUCCACGCAGUAAACGAUGAUUACUAGCUGUUUGCGAUAUACUGUAAGUGGCUAAGCGAAAGCGAUAAGUAAUCCACCUGGGGAGUACGUUCGCAAGAAUGAA
RNAcentral lists this ribosomal RNA (372 nucleotides) under uncultured bacterium. RNAcentral describes it as "bacterial SSU rRNA". It matches the Rfam family "Bacterial small subunit ribosomal RNA", at positions 524 to 898 of the family's 1533-position model. The record is from RNAcentral.